GGGUGAACGUGACAGCUGAAACUUACGAGUAUUGAAAUGUUUGGCCAAAGAAGAAACUCUGAGAGUGACGAGGCUUCUGGGUGGGACAGCCCUUCAGAAGUCAUCCAGGAUGUUCCAAAGAUAGAGGGGAGCUCUGCAGAUGAAAGGCCUGUCAGAGAUACAACGGGAAAAAGGCCUACACCUGCUGAUAGAAGUAUGAAAUCACCGAGGCAGUCUGAGCCCCAAAAGUCAAAAAGACAUGGAGAGGGAAGAGGGAAAAAAGCUGGAAAGGAAAAGCCCAACGAUCCUUUGGGAGGAUUCACUUUCACUGAUCGUGGUGGUGACAGUGAAGAGGAGAGUGUGUCCGUCUCAAUUUCCCAGUCACAGCCUAACAAGUCAAAGAAAAGAACCAAAAGAAAUCAAAAGGAAGAAACUCCCCCUUAUGAUUUCAAAGGAGCUCUAACAGUUCCCAGGGAUCGUGAGCAGCCUGCUUCCAGACCUCCAGGUAAAGAUCGCAAAGGAAAUACAUAUGAUCCUGAACCGAGUCCCAGAGCCCAACAGCUGCAAGUGGGGACACAGUAGCUCUGGAUUCAUGGGAUGAUUCAGAGGCAGAGGAAAGGGUGUUAGCAGAAUUGCGCCAGGAUUUGAAGAAAGGCCAAACCACUAUAGAUGUAGAACCAGAGGACCAAAAUCAAAAGUCUGGAAGUUCUUUAAAGAGCUUCAAAAACCUUGGAAGUAAACUCAGUCAGAAAUUCAAGAAAAGUCCAAAACAUC
RNAcentral lists this unclassified non-coding RNA (753 nucleotides) under Lingula anatina. Its description in RNAcentral is "uncharacterized LOC106153267, transcript variant X3". Lineage: Eukaryota; Metazoa; Brachiopoda; Lingulata; Lingulida; Lingulidae. The record is from RNAcentral.